GAAUUGAUUGAAAGGUGAAGGGCCGGUUCAAAAGAUGGGUGAGAGAGGGGAAAAUAGGCGGGACCGCGACGCGGGAUGAGAAGGCGUGGAGCAGUGGGGGCGCUCACGUCAGAGACAGGGUCUUGCUUCGUCACCCAGGCUGAAGUGCAGUGGCACAACCAUGGCUCACUGCAGCGUCAAACUCCUGGGCUCAAGUGAUCCUUCCAACUCAACCUCCUAAGUAGCUGGGACUACAGUUCUCCAUUCAAGCAAGUAACAGCCUCUGAAUUUUAUCAUAUCAGGUAGGUAUGGGACAGGGAGGAAAGUGGAAUUAGUCUGUGCGAUUUUUCCUGGAUUUUGUUUUCUGUAAAACUAAAUUCACUGAGAAGCGCAGGAUUGAAGGGAAGCAGCGUGGUGACUGGGAGAUACAGGAGGUGGGGAGAGGCUUCUCCCCUAGAGAUUCCAUGAGGGUGGGUGGUGGUGAAAAGGUAUACAGGAUUCAAACAUUGCUCCAUGGUGGAGCUCCAAGGAGGAGGCUCAGAAGGGUUAGAUGUGUUAGAUAUCUGGGGAGGGAAGGACCCUAGUACAGGGUUCCCAAGCUUAGCUAAGACUCUCAUGCCCCACAUAGGGCCACAAAAGUCCCAAAAGAGCAAAGAUUUGCAGCAUGGGAAACAAUCAUUCAUGAAGGCUCUGUUACCUGGGUACAGAGAUCACUCAUGAUGGGAGGGUCUCCCUUUUCUCUGAUGCUUUUGUAACUGUGUGCCAUUGACCAGACCAAGGGAGGGCAGAGUAACCCCAGGAAUGUCUGUGAUUACAUUUCCCAUCAAGCAGGACCUAUGAGGGAGGUAUGGGGAGAAAGAAGAUAUUUCCUAGAUGCAGAAAUUAAGUUGAAGUAUAAAAAAUAAGGUGGUAUUUCUUGCACACUUGAAUUUGUUGAGAUUUUACAUGCGAUUCUUUAAUAUAAUUAUUAAAUAUCCUGAGCUUUGGGUGUUGUUAUACCUGAAAUUGAAAAUCAAUAGAUAGCACUUAUGAUAAUAUGAUUGCAUAAGUAUUAUUCACUAUAAACAAAUAUCGUGAUUGGACUAAGCUAGAAGGAAAUAACUUAAUCUUAUGACAUUAAAACUUUGCUGCUGAAAUCUUUCCUUCGUUUCUGGUUCUACUUAGCUGCCAGCAUAAUCGCAUAAUCUGAUGCCUUAGAUUCCUUCUUUUGCACUGAAGAACUUCCUCAAGUCAUGCUUUUUCAUAUAGGGAGCUUAAAUGGUAUUUUUUUUUACUUCCGAAAUGUCUUUGUCUUGUCCUCAUGCUUAGUUAAUAAUAAUGCUGAGUUCCAAAAAUUUUUUCCUUAGACCUUUGAAGAUAUUACUCUUUUUUUCCUAUAUUCUCACCUACUUUUUGUCCACUGCUGUAACAUUGAUUAAGGGGGGUUAAUUGAAGUCUACCUCUAGGGUAUUUCUAGUUCUCCUUGUAACUCCUACAGUUUUUGCUCUGAGUGUUGAUGCUGUUAUUUGGUGUAUAGAUUUUUUUUUUUUUUUUUGAGACGGAGUCUUGCUCUGUCGCCCAGGCUGGAGUGCAGUGGCGCGAUCUCGGCUCACUGCAAGCUCCGCCUCCCGGGUUGACGCCAUUCUCCUGCCUCAGCCUCCCGAGUAGCUGGGACUACAGGCACCCACCACCACGCCCACCUAAUUUUUUGUAUUUUUAGUAGAGACGGGGUUUCACCGCGUUAGCCAGGAUGGUCUCGAUCUCCUGACGUUGUGAUCCGCCCGCCUCAGCCUCCCAAAGCGUUGGGAUUACAGGCGUGAGCCACCGCGCCCGGCCGGUGUAUAGAUGUUAUAACUUCAUUGUGACUAUCUAGUUUAAUGCUUUUUUCUUUUUUCCUUUCUUUUUUUUUUUUUUUUUUGAGGUGGAGUCUCCCUCUGUUGCCCAGGCUGGAGUGCAGUGGCGCAAUCUCAGCUCACUGCAACCUCUGCCUCCGGAUUCAAACGAUUCUUGCGCCUCAGCCUCCUGAGUAGCUGGGACUACAGGCCCGCACCACCAUGCCUGGCUAAUUUCUUGUAUUUUUAGUAGAGACAGGGUUUCACCAUGUUGGCCAGGCUGGUCUUGAAUUCCUGACCUCAAGUGAUCCGCCUGCCUUGGCCUCCCAAAGUGCUGGGAUUACGGAUGUGAGCCACUGCACCUGGCCUCUAGUUUAAGUCUUUCUUUUCUUUUUUUUUUUUCUGGCCCAGAUUCUGCAAUUAUUCUAAGUCUGGCUUUCAUUUUUCUCUCAGGCUGGCUUUCAUUUUUCUCUCAGGCCCCAAUUCUCUUACAGCCCACUUCUCCCUUUGAAUUU
This is a long non-coding RNA of Gorilla gorilla gorilla (western lowland gorilla), 2305 nucleotides long. RefSeq lists it as uncharacterized. The transcript is spliced from 3 exons. NCBI's taxonomy places the organism in Eukaryota, Metazoa, Chordata, Mammalia, Primates, Hominidae. The record is from RefSeq and is a predicted model, not a curated record.